RNAcentral lists this transfer RNA (82 nucleotides) under compost metagenome. Its description in RNAcentral is "tRNA-Arg". The record is from RNAcentral.
CACGGUGCUGCCGGGGAUUUACGCGGGCGGUGACUGCGUGGCGCCGGGGCAGGACUUGACGGUGCAAGCCGUCCAGCAUGGC